This 2789-nucleotide ribosomal RNA is filed under the name Escherichia coli. Its description in RNAcentral is "bacterial LSU rRNA". It matches the Rfam family "Bacterial large subunit ribosomal RNA". The record is from RNAcentral. Lineage: Bacteria; Pseudomonadati; Pseudomonadota; Gammaproteobacteria; Enterobacterales; Enterobacteriaceae.
AGCGUACACGGUGGAUGCCCUGGCAGUCAGAGGCGAUGAAGGACGUGCUAAUCUGCGAUAAGCGUCGGUAAGGUGAUAUGAACCGUUAUAACCGGCGAUUUCCGAAUGGGGAAACCCAGUGUGUUUCGACACACUAUCAUUAACUGAAUCCAUAGGUUAAUGAGGCGAACCGGGGGAACUGAAACAUCUAAGUACCCCGAGGAAAAGAAAUCAACCGAGAUUCCCCCAGUAGCGGCGAGCGAACGGGGAGCAGCCCAGAGCCUGAAUCAGUGUGUGUGUUAGUGGAAGCGUCUGGAAAGGCGCGCGAUACAGGGUGACAGCCCCGUACACAAAAAUGCACAUGCUGUGAGCUCGAUGAGUAGGGCGGGACACGUGGUAUCCUGUCUGAAUAUGGGGGGACCAUCCUCCAAGGCUAAAUACUCCUGACUGACCGAUAGUGAACCAGUACCGUGAGGGAAAGGCGAAAAGAACCCCGGCGAGGGGAGUGAAAAAGAACCUGAAACCGUGUACGUACAAGCAGUGGGAGCACAGAGCAAUCUGUGUGACUGCGUACCUUUUGUAUAAUGGGUCAGCGACUUAUAUUCUGUAGCAAGGUUAACCGAAUAGGGGAGCCGAAGGGAAACCGAGUCUUAACUGGGCGUUAAGUUGCAGGGUAUAGACCCGAAACCCGGUGAUCUAGCCAUGGGCAGGUUGAAGGUUGGGUAACACUAACUGGAGGACCGAACCGACUAAUGUUGAAAAAUUAGCGGAUGACUUGUGGCUGGGGGUGAAAGGCCAAUCAAACCGGGAGAUAGCUGGUUCUCCCCGAAAGCUAUUUAGGUAGCGCCUCGUGAAUUCAUCUCCGGGGGUAGAGCACUGUUUCGGCAAGGGGGUCAUCCCGACUUACCAACCCGAUGCAAACUGCGAAUACCGGAGAAUGUUAUCACGGGAGACACACGGCGGGUGCUAACGUCCGUCGUGAAGAGGGAAACAACCCAGACCGCCAGCUAAGGUCCCAAAGUCAUGGUUAAGUGGGAAACGAUGUGGGAAGGCCCAGACAGCCAGGAUGUUGGCUUAGAAGCAGCCAUCAUUUAAAGAAAGCGUAAUAGCUCACUGGUCGAGUCGGCCUGCGCGGAAGAUGUAACGGGGCUAAACCAUGCACCGAAGCUGCGGCAGCGACGCUUAUGCGUUGUUGGGUAGGGGAGCGUUCUGUAAGCCUGUGAAGGUGUACUGUGAGGUAUGCUGGAGGUAUCAGAAGUGCGAAUGCUGACAUAAGUAACGAUAAAGCGGGUGAAAAGCCCGCUCGCCGGAAGACCAAGGGUUCCUGUCCAACGUUAAUCGGGGCAGGGUGAGUCGACCCCUAAGGCGAGGCCGAAAGGCGUAGUCGAUGGGAAACAGGUUAAUAUUCCUGUACUUGGUGUUACUGCGAAGGGGGGACGGAGAAGGCUAUGUUGGCCGGGCGACGGUUGUCCCGGUUUAAGCGUGUAGGCUGGUUUUCCAGGCAAAUCCGGAAAAUCAAGGCUGAGGCGUGAUGACGAGGCACUACGGUGCUGAAGCAACAAAUGCCCUGCUUCCAGGAAAAGCCUCUAAGCAUCAGGUAACAUCAAAUCGUACCCCAAACCGACACAGGUGGUCAGGUAGAGAAUACCAAGGCGCUUGAGAGAACUCGGGUGAAGGAACUAGGCAAAAUGGUGCCGUAACUUCGGGAGAAGGCACGCUGAUAUGUAGGUGAAGUCCCUCGCGGAUGGAGCUGAAAUCAGUCGAAGAUACCAGCUGGCUGCAACUGUUUAUUAAAAACACAGCACUGUGCAAACACGAAAGUGGACGUAUACGGUGUGACGCCUGCCCGGUGCCGGAAGGUUAAUUGAUGGGGUCAGCGCAAGCGAAGCUCUUGAUCGAAGCCCCGGUAAACGGCGGCCGUAACUAUAACGGUCCUAAGGUAGCGAAAUUCCUUGUCGGGUAAGUUCCGACCUGCACGAAUGGCGUAAUGAUGGCCAGGCUGUCUCCACCCGAGACUCAGUGAAAUUGAACUCGCUGUGAAGAUGCAGUGUACCCGCGGCAAGACGGAAAGACCCCGUGAACCUUUACUAUAGCUUGACACUGAACAUUGAGCCUUGAUGUGUAGGAUAGGUGGGAGGCUUUGAAGUGUGGACGCCAGUCUGCAUGGAGCCGACCUUGAAAUACCACCCUUUAAUGUUUGAUGUUCUAACGUGGACCCGUGAUCCGGGUUGCGGACAGUGUCUGGUGGGUAGUUUGACUGGGGCGGUCUCCUCCUAAAGAGUAACGGAGGAGCACGAAGGUUGGCUAAUCCUGGUCGGACAUCAGGAGGUUAGUGCAAUGGCAUAAGCCAGCUUGACUGCGAGCGUGACGGCGCGAGCAGGUGCGAAAGCAGGUCAUAGUGAUCCGGUGGUUCUGAAUGGAAGGGCCAUCGCUCAACGGAUAAAAGGUACUCCGGGGAUAACAGGCUGAUACCGCCCAAGAGUUCAUAUCGACGGCGGUGUUUGGCACCUCGAUGUCGGCUCAUCACAUCCUGGGGCUGAAGUAGGUCCCAAGGGUAUGGCUGUUCGCCAUUUAAAGUGGUACGCGAGCUGGGUUUAGAACGUCGUGAGACAGUUCGGUCCCUAUCUGCCGUGGGCGCUGGAGAAUUGAGGGGGGCUGCUCCUAGUACGAGAGGACCGGAGUGGACGCAUCACUGGUGUUCGGGUUGUCAUGCCAAUGGCACUGCCCGGUAGCUAAAUGCGGAAGAGAUAAGUGCUGAAAGCAUCUAAGCACGAAACUUGCCCCGAGAUGAGUUCUCCCUGACUCCUUGA